Molecule: ribosomal RNA, 851 nt
Filed under: Chaetoceros neogracilis
Lineage: Eukaryota; Bacillariophyta; Thalassiosirophyceae; Chaetocerotales; Chaetocerotaceae
Description: partial Bacterial small subunit ribosomal RNA
Rfam family: Bacterial small subunit ribosomal RNA
Source: RNAcentral
UUGAGAGUUUGAUCCUGGCUCAGAACGAACGCUGGCGGCAGGCCUAACACAUGCAAGUCGAGCGCACCUUCGGGUGAGCGGCGGACGGGUUAGUAACGCGUGGGAACGUACCCUUUUCUACGGAAUAGCCUUUGGAAACGAAGAGUAAUACCGUAUACGCCCUUUGGGGGAAAGAUUUAUCGGAGAAGGAUCGGCCCGCGUUAGAUUAGAUAGUUGGUGGGGUAACGGCCUACCAAGUCUACGAUCUAUAGCUGGUUUUAGAGGAUGAUCAGCAACACUGGGACUGAGACACGGCCCAGACUCCUACGGGAGGCAGCAGUGGGGAAUCUUAGACAAUGGGCGCAAGCCUGAUCUAGCCAUGCCGCGUGAGUGAUGAAGGCCUUAGGGUCGUAAAGCUCUUUCGCCUGUGAUGAUAAUGACAGUAGCAGGUAAAGAAACCCCGGCUAACUCCGUGCCAGCAGCCGCGGUAAUACGGAGGGGGUUAGCGUUGUUCGGAAUUACUGGGCGUAAAGCGCACGUAGGCGGAUUGGAAAGUUGGGGGUGAAAUCCCGGGGCUCAACCCCGGAACUGCCUCCAAAACUAUCAGUCUAGAGUUCGAGAGAGGUGAGUGGAAUUCCAAGUGUAGAGGUGAAAUUCGUAGAUAUUUGGAGGAACACCAGUGGCGAAGGCGGCUCACUGGCUCGAUACUGACGCUGAGGUGCGAAAGUGUGGGGAGCAAACAGGAUUAGAUACCCUGGUAGUCCACGCCGUAAACGAUGUCAACUAGCCGUUGGGAGGGUAAUCCUUUUAGUGGCGCAGCUAACGCUCUAAGUUGACCGCCUGGGGAGUACGGUCGCAAGAUUAAAACUCAA